This 253-nucleotide ribosomal RNA is filed under the name uncultured bacterium. RNAcentral describes it as "partial 16S ribosomal RNA". It matches the Rfam family "Bacterial small subunit ribosomal RNA", at positions 524 to 776 of the family's 1533-position model. The record is from RNAcentral.
UACGUAGGGUGCAAGCGUUGUCCGGAAUUAUUGGGCGUAAAGAGCUCUUAGGCGGCUCGUCACGUCUGCUGUGAAAACCCGGGGCUCAACUCCGGGCCUGCAGUGGAUACGGGCGGGCUAGAGUUCGGUAGGGGAGACUGGAAUUCCUGGUGUAGCGGUGAAAUGCGCAGAUAUCAGGAGGAACACCAGUGGCGAAGGCGGGUCUCGGGGCCGAUAAUGACGCUGAGGAGCGAAAGCGUGGGGAGCAAACAGG